This 14577-nucleotide long non-coding RNA is filed under the name Marmota monax (woodchuck). Lineage: Eukaryota; Metazoa; Chordata; Mammalia; Rodentia; Sciuridae. The record is from RNAcentral.
UAAUAUUUUGUAACACUGCGUAUUGAAUCCAGGGUGCUCUACAACUGAGCUACAUUCCCAGCACUUUUUGCUUUUUAUUUUGAAACAGGAUCUCACUGAGUUGCCCAGCCUGGUCCCCAGUUCAUAAUGGCUUACCGUGGCCUCCCAAAUUGCUGGGAUGACAGGCAUUCACCACCAUUUGCGGCUGCAUUAAUAAUUUUAAAGAGGGAUUUAGAAUGCCACUUUUCAUAAUGUCUGCAGAUUGCAUCUGAAGACAGUGUUUGUUUAAACAUAAAUCUGAGCCAGGCGUGGUGGUGCACACCUAUGAUCUCAGUGACUCUGAGGCUGAGACAGGAGAAUUACAGGUUUGAAGCCUUGCUCUGCAACUUAGUAAGACUCUGUGUCAAAAUAAAAAGAAAAAAAAAAGAAGGAUUAGAGAUAUAACUCAUCAGAAGAGAACCCUUGGGUUCAAUCCCCAGUGUCACCAAAAGAAAAAAAGAAAGUGCUUUCACCAGGAUGAGAAUUCUGCUUACUUGAAGCUUCUGCGGCAGAUGCUGCUGACUCCUGGACCCUGGGAGCCCAGUAUCACCCUCGGACAGGGUGGAACUGAAAUCGGACAGAUCUGGGCUUCUCACCCAGGGGAGGGUAGGUUUCCUUCACGGGCACGAGCCACGUGUUUGGUGGUAGGGCAGGGGAGGGAUGGUGCUGCCCGCUGUGUCCAGGGUCCACUGGCUGGGGCACCUCCAGCAAUGCCCGGUGUCUUUAACUUCCCGUCACACACUUUUCCUCUUUCCUUCUGAUGUUCCUUCCCUCCCGACUUCUGUGAGGGAGGCAGGAUUAUGGCCACAGGCCACCACCAGGGCAUUCAGAGUGAUGCCGGGGCAGACAGAGGCCAGCGGAGGGCACCUGCUUGGGCGGUCAGAGGCUGGGCUGCUGGAGUGGCAGCUCCGAUGAGUGACUCUGAUUCUAAUUUGUGGAUUUCUGAAAAGUGUGUGCUGCUGAGUUGUUCACUGUUGGAAGGAGAUGACAGAAGAGCCAGAGACGGGAGGCUGGCCCUGGGAGGCUGGCCCGGCACUAUUAGAACAGGAGAGUUCUGCUGUGACAGUGUAAAAUAUUUGCUCAUCUUGCUGUUGAUUAGAAAAGAGGCUCUUUGUUCUGAAAGGCCUUGAAAGUGAAGGUUAAGGAGGGGGGCUGGGCGGGACGCAGUGAACGUCUCCUCCUCCCUGGGGGCCUCCCUGGACCUGCCCUGCUGCCUGCCUGCUCUCCCAGCCCUCCUGCUUCUCCUCUAAGCCCCUCAACCCAGCUUGUGUUGGGGAGGGGCAGCUCCACCUGUUUGAUCCGUGCAGUUGUGUGGCUGCACGAGGCCAGGGACUGUGCUUCCUCCUGCUGUCGGGUCCCUGCCUGUUUGCCGCAUGGUGGGCACAUGACACUACAGGGAGUAAAUGGAAACAGUGCCCUGGGCUCUGAAUUCAGAGGCCGGUGGCCUGGACUUUCAACCAGUUUUAUACUUAUUAGCUCCAAGAGGUUGGCCUUUAGCGUCUCAUCUCUCUACUGUACUGGUUAAUGUAAGAAUCCAUGAAAAAUGUCAGUCUCCUUUUGUGAGCUGUGGCUGCUACAGAAACUUAACACACGCGUCUUUCUUCACUUGUCACCUACGUGGUGAGCACUUCCCAGUUCCUUAGCUGGAUCUGGACUGGGGAAGUGAGGGAGCCCAGGCAGCUGAGUGGCUUCAAGUCUGGACUUGCCUCUGCCUGUCACCACCCUGUUCUGCAGAUGAGCUACUUGCAGUCUUGACUGUUGUCCUAAUUACAGAUGUUUAUUACAAGGUGUUUAGAGGGCUACACUGCAGAAGGUGGUACAGGACCGUUCAUUCUUCCUCUUGCUUAUUAAUUUAUUCAGCAAACUGUCUUAGAUGCUAGGAAAUUAAAUUUUUUUUAAAGUCAUACGGUCCAGUGAGGGAGACAGAACUCAAACAGGUAGACAGAUCAUACAAGAUUGUAAGUUGAGAUAACUCCAGGGAAGAAGUAAAUUAGGCACUGCUCUGGUGGGUAAGGUUGGCUGGAGCCAUAGUUGGAGCAAUUAGAGCCCUCUAUUAGCUGGGACUUGGUGGAGAAAACAAGCCAACCAUGCCGAAAGCAAAAGUGGUGUUAAGAACUUUCUGGGCAGAGAGAAUGGCUGUGGGAAGGCCCUGAGGCUGGGGAAUCUAGGGCAGAGAAGACAGUGGCCAGGUAAGUCCUGGGCUGAGGCCGGGUCCUGCUUGCCUGAGACCUGUGGUGUGUGGGUUUCAGAUCCCUCACUGCAUGAGCCCAGGACUUUCCCAGUCUCAGAGCCAAACUCAAACUGUUGCCUAAAAGAUUUCACAUUUUCAGACUCAUCGAAACCUGGGAGAUAUUCUUAUCUCUGCCCUCUGCCAACCACCCCGCCUCAUCUCUAAUCACUCAGCAAAUCCUUCUGAUUACAUCUUCAAAUAGCUUUGCAAAUCCAUUCUCUCCCCUCCACUCCCCUGCGGAAGCCUCGGUCAGCCCAUGUGCCUCUCUCCUGGGCUGCCAGGUCCAGCCAGCAGUGGCCUGAAACUCGCCCGGGGGAGGUGCUGGGGAAGUCUGACGAGCGUUUGCAAGUUUCCUAGUAUCAAUCCUCGCACAGUGGCCUAUCUUAGCCACCAACACACCGGGUUGGAAGUGACAUGGGAGACGUGUGCAGCUGAGUUUCUUGGACCAGAACAAGCCAGCAGCAGCCCUCAGGUGUGCCCACUCCCUUCUGGUAACACAGCCCCUGUGAUCUUUUAAUUCUGAUCCUGCCCCUCCCUUCCACGAUGCCUUCCCACUGUGUUCUGACUUUAUCAUGAUCUGGGUGGACAUGUCUUGAAAGGUUAGCCCAGCCCUGGUCCUAGUUCUUAUUGAGAAUUUUGGAUCAAACCCUGAAUCCACAUCCAGAUCUCAGCCCUGAGUCCGCUGAGUGACCUUGGCAACCCCUGGGAGGGCAAUUAGCUCCUUUAGUUUGAUGGAGGAUGCUGCAACUCUGAGAAGGUGCAUGAGUAAGUGUGCUAGUCAGCUUUCCAUUACUAUAACAAAUACCUGAGACAAGCAACUUAUAAAGAGGAAGGGUUUAUUUUGACUCACAAUUUUAGAGGUUCUUGUCCAUGAUCAGUUGCCCACAUUAUGUUCAGGCUUUGGUGAGAUGUCACACAGCCAUGGCAGGGAGCACAGACCAUAGCAAAACUGAUCAGCUCGUGGCUGGGAAGUGAAGGAGAUAGACGGAGGUCCAACUAUUGGCUUUCAGGGCAUGCCCACCGUGAACCUAAGACCUCCUGCGAGGCUCCACCCGCUGAAGUCCCACCACCUCCCAAUAGCAGCACCAGGCUGGGGAGCAAGCCAACACACAGGCCUCGGGGGCAUUGAAGGUGUAAACCAAGGCAGUGAGUGUAGGAUGAUAAAGCAAACCUUGCUGUUGACAUUUUGUACUAAGUUGAGAAUAAGUGGGUCAUUUUUGUGGUAUGUUUUGUUAAUUAUUGAAGAUGUUUGAAAAGUUUUCACUAUGAUCAGACAUAUUGAGUUGUGUUUUUAAUUUAAAAUGUUCCGAAAUAUUUUAUAUUAGACUUAUUAUUUUAAUUUGAAAUAUAUAAAAAUGUCAAUAUACAACUAAUGGUUAUAUGUUUAAGAUAACCUGAUGGGUCACAUACAGGUUUGAUUUUUUCAGGUUUGCAGGAGUUUCUCAAGGGCUUCCACAGCCUCUGCUCCUAAGGCUACACCUGUUGGAAAUUAGAAGGGGCUGAGGUGAUCACAUACAUUACAUUUAGAGAUGUGAUAUUUAUAUCAACAUUAUGAAUGUAUAAACAGAAUAACAAUAAUCUUAAUUUGAACCUGAGGGCUUUCAGAACUAGGUUUCAAACAUCUUAAACUGGGUUAAACUUAAAGGCAUUUUAGAACUAGCUUUUAAAAUUUACAACUUUAAGUAUCAUGUAUGAGUCAGGGAACUGCCGUGCUCCUUUGAUGUACAAGAGCAUCCCUUUGACCAUAAAAACUUGACUGCUGCACCUACGCGUGUGCAGGGAAAUUUCUGGAAGGAGAAACAUGUAGUGAUCCCUCCUGGGAGGAAGGGAGAGUUUCAUUUUGUCAAUCUUCUGUACAGUUUUAAUUUUUAAAAUUGUAUAUCUAAUUACUUUCAACGAGAAGCAGAGAGCAGUUUAAAAAGACCCGUGAAGAAAGACAAAUGCUGCCUGUUCUUGCUCAUAUGAGGAAGCUAAAAAGUCUGACCUUAUGGAAGUGGAGAGUGGGACAGUGUCCCAGAGGCUGGGAGAGGAGGCGGAGAGCGGGGGCCCUUGACAGCGGAGCCAGAGAACAGGCAGGAGGUGGGUGUCCCAGCCCUCCAGGCACAGGAGCAUGACGAUGGGAUGCAGCUGCUUAUGAUGUAUUUUAUGAGAAACUAGAAGAGUCGGAAGGGGAACACCAAGAAUGGUAAGUGUUUGAUGAAGUGGAAAGGCUGAUUGCCCUGGUUUGAUCAUUACACAUUGUGUACAUGAAUUAUCACACUGUACCCAUAAGUAGGUAUGAUUAUUAUGAACCAGUUUUUAAAAAGGCCCAUGGAGACGAGGAAUGUAAAGGCUGGAAGGAUGAGGGGGAGGAGGAAGGUGAGAGCAGGGCACCUGAGGGCUCUGAACACACCUGGGUGCACAGAUGCGGUGGGUGUGACCACGAGGAGGCAGUGGGUCACCAAAGGGUGCUUGUCCAGCCAAGGACGCAGGUGAACCGUCUCAUCCUCAGCAAGGGAAGCGGAAUAUCACCGGUUAGCUCGUAGGCUCAGAGUAACUACCAGUGUGAGCAGGGAUUACAGGUUCUGCAGAACUCUCGUGGAUUUCCUCAUUUAGUUUUUGUAGCAAUGCUAUAAGUUCAUCCAGCUUAGGGGAGAGGAAACUGAAACUCGUCAAGUGAUUUAGUCAAGGUGAAGCCGUUGGUGAUGGGGUCAGGACCCCAGUCGUGGUUUUCAGACACCGCACUUGGUGUUCUGGAGAUGUUUUUUUCCUGCUCUUUAGCUUUGCUGGGUAGAUUUGCCGCUGGAGAUUUUGGACCAGGUCUGCCAGAGGGAGCAUCAUUUCCCUUUGCUGGAGCAGCUUUCUUAUUAAGAAUGUCACCUGUGACUGUGCAUUCACAAUGUGUGCCUUUGGGGGAUUGACCCCUCUGAGGGGAUUGUAGGAUGAUAUCAUUUUCACAGCCUUCAGAGGACUCACAGAUGACAUUAGCUGGCUGGGGCAUUCAUCAGCCACACCAGGACUGAUGCAGUCAGAUGCACUAGUGUUGGUCAGCCUUCUAUCACUGUAACAGUCACCUAGACGAUCAACUUAGAAGAAAGGCUUGUUUGGGCGCAUGUUUUGGAGGUUUCAGGCCGUGAACACUUAGCCCUAUUGCUUUACACCCCACGGUGGGAGUGUGUGGUGUAGCAAAACCACUCACUGCAUGGCUGAAAAAGAGGAAGAAGCCAGCAUCCAGAAUCCCCUUCAAGGGUUUACCUAAAAGCACACAACAAAACAAAUUCCAACGAAAUUGAUUAAAUGGAGGACAAUGACAGUAUAAGAUAUGAGAAAACAAAGAUGAAUGCUUUAGGAUUUUAUAGUAAGAAGAAUGGCCUUUUUACAUUAACAAAAGCCAUCCAGGAAAAGGCUAAUGGCACUGAUUGUACAAUAACUUAAAACUACCACAGACUAAAUCAAUAGGCAAACAAUAUAAGCUCUUCACAACCCUUACCUCCUCCACCAAACAACAAGAAGUUAAAUUCCUUAAAAUAGAAAAAGUCUGGAGAGCUUGGCUGGGAGCACCCUCAGGGUGGAAAUUCAUGGAGAGUGACUAGGCUCAGGAGAGCGCCAUAUUCACUAUUACCAUUUUGUUACAGUGAAGGAAGGAGACUAAGGUCUGCAGAGGGAAGAGACCCACAGAGCAGCGUCUGAGGGGGUCCAAGUGCAGGUUUUGGCCUUUACCUUAGCCUUACUUCCUGGCCACAGUGGGAUACACAUAGUAUUGCUAACUGAGGGACUCAUCAGGGCCUCUGGUGUGCAGAGGGUCGAAGCCCCAUCCCAAGUCAAAUAAUCUUUGCCUUGGCUCAGUGCAGGGUUUCAGAGCCCCAGCAAUCACUUCCCAGCAGCCAAGGGCCAAAGCCAGAGGUUAGUUCUUCACUAAAGAGAAACUCAGCAUAUUGUGCCUAUCAAGUUGAUCAAGUUGUGUCAUUGUUGGGACGCAGUCCUGGACAUUUCAACACACCCCAGUGGACUGCCAACUGCAGCCUGAGGACCUUUUAUUUUUUCAUUUUUUAACUACAGAAGACCUCUCCUGCCCCACACCCUUGCAGCUCCCUCAAACAGCCCUCCUCAGUGUCUCCUGCCUUAGGGGAACAGUCUGAGGCAUUCUGUACCAUCUCCCACAGUCUCCCUGGGACAUUAGACUUGGGUUGUCCAUUGUGAUAGCUGGCGUAGGGACCCACGACUAUGGGCCACCUGUGCCUUUGGAUGCCCGUUAUCCAUUUCCCCUGUUCUAUCCGUGUUACUCAAACUUAUUGCAUUUCUUGCACCUGAAUCCUUGUCUCAAGGUCUGCUUCUGGGAGAUACCAAAACAAAGACAUGUGGCAGGAAUGUGUGCAGAUAGACACUCUCAUCCUCUCCUUUGUGGAGUGUAAACCAAUUCAGCGUAUCUGGUGGGGACUUUGGAAAUAUUUAUCAAGUUGACUUAAAACAUGCCUAGUCUUUGUGUGUAUUAGCUUUCUGUCACUAUAGCAAAUACCUGGAUAAUGAACUUAGGAAGACAAAGGUUCGUUUUGGCUCAGGUUUGGAGGUUUCAUGCCCACCGUGGUGAGGCAGCAUAUCAUGGUAGGGAACACCAGCUGAAUCUUAGAACCACCAACACAAAAAAAUUCACAGCAUACAAAGAAACCCACCAUAUCACUUCCCCUGUAAUGCUCUUCUCUAAAUUGGCCUUCCUCUGGCAUCCUAACCCAACACCUUUGUUGUCUCAAUCCGGCUAACAGGUUCGUAACAUCUUAACCUGGUACAGAGAAAGUAGAAGAUUUUGUGAAAAUUAUUUACACUGAAUAUGCAGUUUCCUUUUGGUUCUACCUGCUGCUAGAAUGAUGAACAAUGAAAUGUUAUCCAACUAUAAGCUUUUUACCUUAUGUGAUGCUACAAUAAUCUUUGUUGCUCUCUUGUUAGGUGUGAUUUAAAAUCAGCCUUAAUUAUUUUGGCUUGGAAAUAUGCAUAAUUCUUCAUUACUUAUUUUUUCCUUUUUUUUUAAAUUGGUUUGUCUUAGUGUUAUACAUGAUGGGGAAAAGGGAACACUCAUACAUUGUUGGUGGGACUGCAUAUUGGUGCAACACUCUGGAAAGCAGUAUGGAGGUUCCUUAAAAGACUAGGAAUGGAACCACCAUUUAACCCAGUUAUCCCACUCCUUGGCAUAUAUCCAAAGGACUUAAAAACAGCAUACUACAGUGACACAGCUACAUCAAUGUUUAUAGCAGCACAAUUCAAAUAGCUAAGCUAUGGAACUAACCUAGGUGCCCAUCAACAGAUGAAUGGAUAAAGAAAUUGUGGUAUAUAUACACAAUUGAGUAUUAUUCAGCCAUAAAGAAGAAUGACUUUAUGACAUUUGCCAGUAAAUGGAUGGAUCUGGAGACUAUCAUGCUAAGUGAAAUAAGCCUAUCCCCAAAAAACAAAGGUCGAGUGUUAUCUCUGAUAUGUGGAUGCUAACCCACAAUAACGUGGGGGAAGGGAAGAAGAGAAGUUUAGUAGAUGAGACAAAGGGGAACGAAAGGGAGAGGGGGAAAUGGGAAUAGGAAAGACAGUAGAAUAAAUCUCACAUACUUUUCUUAUUUACACAUAUGAAAUUACCUAAGUGAAUCCCACCAUCAUGCCCACCUGUGAGAAUGGAGUCCUGUUUAGAAUAGGAUAUAUUCCAUGCUUGUAUGAUUUUAUCGGAAUGGAUUCUAUGGUCACGGACAUGCAAAUUUUAAAAAAGAUCUGUGAGCAAUAAACCGCGCUAAGGAAGCAGCUGUGAAUCCUGCACCUUGGUGAUGUGACGACCUGUGUUGGCAAACUUGAGGUGCCUGGCUGGCUCAGGAAAGAAUGCAACCUGGCCGAGUGUGCUUCCUUGGUGCUGCAUGUUAGAUUCCCCGGCAAGCGCCUGUCUGUGUCCUGGGACCCUGUGACUGACCGUGUGAACUGUGGCUCCACUCCCUUCUCAAGUGGAAAGCUGCCCUGCAGGAAGGGCAGAGCAGGAAGAGGGGCAGCUGCCUUAGAGUGAGCCGCCCUGGAUGAGGCCGUCCAGCUCCUUUGGAGGACUGUGACGAAGGUUAAGACUAGCUUUGGGGUGGAUUUGGGAGGAGCUGCUGUUUAAUUAUGGGGCUCGCUUUCAAAGGAAAGCUGACAGGCAGCCCAGCACCUCCCAGAAGGUUCUUGCCAACACAGAGACCUGUGUCUGCUGUGGCCACCCUACUAGAAGGGGUCAUGGUGGUUAAGGAGAAGUUUUUCUGCAACAAGGACCGAUGAGGGGGAUUGAGGAUAUUUCAAAAGUCCCAUAAAGCAUUUUAUUCACCUCCGCUUAAAAACCAAGCCCACGAAAUGCAGGUUCUGGGGUGAAGGAGCGCUGGGCUUGCUCACAGCUGGUGGAGGCUGUGGGCAGCCUGCGCUCAGGACUGGGGCUGAGUCUGGGGGACUGGCUCCUCUCUGCGCUGUUUCCAAAAGCCAGGAGGUGUGAGCAGAGUGGCCGUGGGUUCUGGGGAUUAGGGCAUGGCGUCUUUGAGGGAUUAUUAUUCUGCCUGCGGUGCGUGUAUAACUGAGGCAGAAAGUGGGAUUUUAACAGAGAACAGCUGUUCUUAGGUGGGACUGGAUUUCUAACCGCCUGUGCUCUUUUCUGGCCCCUCAAACUGAACGUGUCCCCAGUGGUGUCAUCGGCUUCCCUGGCAGACCUGCCCAUCUCCUCUUGGCUGGUGCUGCUGGCCAGAUCUCAACCUCACCCUUCCUUCAUCUCGUGUGACAACCAUUGUAAGUCCUAGGGAUCCCGUUUCCGUGAGAAUACUAUCACCCAUCCCUUUUCCCUGUUCCCAGGGUCACUUUCUCAUUUCAGAACUUUAUGUUCUUUUCUCCGAUUAUGAACUGGUUUUCCCAGUUGCCCUACCCAGUCUCCCCGGCUCCAGUUCCCACCCCUCUGUCGGUGGCAAUAAUAGUCACUGUAGUGGAACCCUGCAUGUAGGAUCCCGUUAAUCCUCAUAACCAAGACAGCUGAGCCCAGCCCUCGGGCAGGCCCGAGGCAGAAGUUCAAGGACACGGCCCAUCAGAGACAAGAAGACACCAUAGGAGCCACAUUCGCCAGGAGCGCCUGUUCUAGUUUCCUUACCCAGUUCAAGGAGAGCAGAGGCCUCAGAGAAGGACACGUUUGCAGGGUGGAAUGUCGAAGCUGCUUGGAAAGCCGGGGAUUGCUGCCGGGCAGGGUUGGACGUUUCCUUUUGAAGAACUUGACUAACAACAUACAAGGAGGCCUGAUUGGAGGGGCUUCCUGUUGUUGCAGCCUAAAGACCCACCGUCAGGUCCCAUCACACAGAUGAGGCUCAGAGGGUGGAAGUCACCCCAAGUCGCAGAGGCAGCAGGUGACAGAACUGGCCCUCUAUUUUAGGACCCAAGUUCCCUGUGCUUCCCACUCCAGGGUUUGCCUGCACCCUGCUCACAGCCUCGCUUCUCACUCUUUUCUCUGAGCCUCAAUGUGGCAGUGAAGCCCAACUCCACUCCUGGGACCUAACUGUCCCUCCUUUAUGCCUUUUCCUCUAUGGUUCCCUCUGCCUAAACAGUCCUGGAGCCUGUCCCAACCCUGGAAAGCCCGGAAGCCACACUGCUGGCUCCAGGAGGCUGAGUCUCACCGGGAAGAGCUGUUGAUCACCAGCUGUUGGCCUCAGGACUCAGUGACCGAGAGGAUGGGGUUGGGCCUUGAUGGAAGGGUGUGAGGGACUGGAGUCAUUCACGUCUGCUCUCCUGUCAUCUGAGGUCCCAGCAUCGUGGCAUUCCUGAAGCAGAGACCAGGCCCUCACCAGCCACCAAACCUCCGCUGUCUUCAUCUUGGGCCCUCAUCAGCCUCCAAAAGAGUGAGAACUAACUUUCUUUGCUUCCAAGUUACCCAGUCUCAGGUAUUUUGUUACAGCAGCAACGUGGACCAAGAUAGUUAAUUAACAUAGGUGACGGCACCCCCUCAAGAUUAUAAUGGUGCUGAAAAAUCCCCACUGCCUAGUGAUGGGCAGACACCUAACAUCACCGGGAGACACGAUGCUCCUGUGUCAUGGUGAUGUUGGUGUAAACCAACCUGCCGUGCCGCCACAUGAAAGUCACCUGCAAUCGCACACGGUUCACAGUUCUUCAUGAUACGUGACUGUGCUCCUGGUUUGCACAGUUGCUACUUCAUACUUUUCCCGUGAUGUGCAUGCCCUCUACCUCUAAAGACAAGUUUUCCGUAAAAAACAUGUUACGCCUGCAGCAGCAUCACACACCUUGUACCCACCGCAUCCUGGUGGCAUCCAGAGGCCACAUGGCACGGGCCGUACCCUCGAGGUUAGUGUAAGCACACGGCACUUGCACAAUAGCAGAACUGCCUAAAGGCAAAGUUCUCAGCCUGCUUCCUGUCAUUAAGCAACAGCCACUGAGUUAAAGCUGGAGACCCAGAAGGGAGGUGUAGUUUUCGCUUCUGUGUCCUUCCACAGAUCAUUUCUUCUCCACCUCUGUGGGGGUGACCCUCCCACCUCCAGUGCCCAGCCCUUCCUGGGCCCACACCACCCAGCUUGACAGCUUGACACGGUCAUCAAGCUAUUACUGAGCCCCUGCCGCAUGAAAGGCUGUGGGUCGUGUUCUGGGGGAGCAGGGAAGGCUCUGCAGAGGCAGUGGGAUUCAGGAUCAGAGGCUGCGUCUGAUGGAAGAGGUGGAAAGUGGGUGGGGUAAAGUCAUGCCCGACAGCGAAGUUCAGCUCCUACUCUUCUUGUUACUGGCUUUGUAAUCUUGAAAAAAGGGAAUCAUAUAAUUGCUUUGGAAAUCAGUUUCCUCAUAUGUGACAUGUAAGUAAUCAGAUCUAUGUUGUAGGGUGGUGGUAAGAUUAAUGUGAAAGCCCUAUAUUGGUUAGAAGGCUUCCGGUUGAAAGUGCUCUGAAUGAAGUUAAGAUACAACACGGACCAGCAUCUUCUGUGGUCACUAUUGAAGUGACAGACCUUUCUGUCACCUUUCUCCACGUCACCAACGUUCCCACCUUAUGAUGCCUACCAUCUUGCUUGCUGAAGACGGCAGUUUUCUUCCUUCUGCGGGGCACCGUGGAUGGGCGCUCCGUCACCAGGACUGAAGACUGCCUGGUUUUCCAAGGGAGGGGGAACUGAAUUGUCUCCACCUUCUCUGCCUAUGCUUUGUCAUUUUAAGUCUGCGCCUGUGCUCAUUGGUGUCUCUUCUCCUGGGACGUGGCAUCUUCUUAGCCUGGUCAGCAAUUACUGGCCCAGUAAGAGCCAGCUGAGGUGCCUCUCUGGAGUCCUUUUGGCCUCCUAGUCUGGCUUAGUUCACCUUGACCAAGGGCACUGCUCUCUAAUUGCACAAUACCCCACCCUGCUUACACUAGGCUCUUCGGCCCUUGGAGACUGGCACACAGUACUCACUUAUUAGGUGACUGUUGAAUGAGUGUGUACAUUUCUCCAGUCUCUCCCAGCCCUGUCUUUUUACUCCCUGCACCAAGCAGGGUGGGGUAAAGUCAUGCCCGACAGUGCAUUUCUUUCUCUUGUUCAGCAUUGUUAAUGGAUUUUCAUUAGAGACACUUCCCGCUCUGACCAUCAAUAAUGAUCCCAGGUGUUAAUUGUAAUGGUAACACUAGAUCUUGCACUAUUUGCUCAGCAACUUUACUUUUAUAAGCUCCUUUAAAAGUUCCUUUGUUGCCUUUUUUUCUUUCCUACUAAAGGACUAUCCUUGACCUUGGGGUGGGAGGUACUGUCCUGUUAAGGUCCCACCUUAGGAAAAUAAACCCUAUAGUGAAAUACAAGUUGAAGAUCUGGGUGCAUCAAGAGUAGUGAAUAUUUUAUUUCCUUAUAAUGCAAAGGCACUGUAGUUCCUCCCCUCUUUAUGUUAGGUUUAAAUUACUGUAUUGUGUUUCAUGUAAUUUAAGCCAGAAGAACAAGUUGGGAUGGACAAUUGUAUUUAAAUGUCAGUUCAGAGUUCAAAGAGGUAGCCUUGAAAGAGUUAUAGAAACAGGAAUGUCCUGCAGGAGAAUAAAACAAAACAACAAUAACAACAGGCAAACCCAACAAAACCCCAACCAAAUGAAAACCCCACAAAUGAACAAACAAACAAGCAAAAGAGGGAAGUUUUCACUGUUUUCCAAAAAGGAUAGAUUGGCAAAGAGAAAAGGAGUCUCAGGACUUCACUGUUUAGUGAGUCCUCAGCCAGGAAGGAGAGCUGUUCUUUAGGGAGUCGGGAACUGUGACAAGGGGUAUUGUACCUGAGGAUGGAAGCAGCCGUCAGGUGAUAGCUCCCUGGGCAGCAAGGAGGAGGCAACUCAUGGAGGGCCUGGGGUCCGGAGCUCAGGGACACUGAUCACCAGCUGUUGGCCUGAUCAACUUACUUGCCUUCCUGGAUGUUGCUUCCUUAUCUGUAAAAUGCAGGCCGAGUUGUCAAAUUUAGCAAAUAAAAAUGCAGGAAGAUCAGUUAAAUUUGAGUUUCAGGUAAACAAUACUUAUUUUUCAUAUAAAUACAUUCUAUGAAAUAUUUAUGUCCCAUGCAAUAACUGUGUCCCGAGUGUUGCGUGGGAGACAUGCUAAACUACUAUUUCUUAUGUAUCUGAAAUUCUGAUUUAACUUUGCAUUCUGUGUUUUAUCUGGCGACAUAAAUGUGUGUGUGUGUGUGUGUGUGUGUGUAUUUGGGAGGGGUUGAUAUGAGUAUCUUGUAGGGGUGUUGUGAAUUAAAAAUAAUACUACAUUUAUGUCUUACCACUGGUAAGGUUUUAAACUAUGGUAUAGUCAAAAACCAAUGGACGUGGGGGUAAGAGGGUAAAAAAGAAAGAUGGUGGAAUGAGAUGGACAUGUAUGAAGAAGACACAAAUGGUGUGAAUAUGUGUACAGCAGAGAUAUGAAAAAUUGUGCUCUAUAUUUGCAAUAUGAUUUGCAAUGCAUUGUGCUAUCAUAUAUAACAAAUUAGAAUAAAAAAAUUUUAAAAAGGACAUUUUUUAGUAUAAUAGUUAAUAUUAAUAAAUGUCUCUAAAUGUCAUUUUGCCCUAUGGGAGCUUGGGGGAUAGUUCUGACUUUAAACUAAGGAGAGAUGAGUCAUAGUCAAGUCUGGGAGUAAGAUAAUUAGGCAGUGAUAAUCACUAUAUAUUAUAAUUAAUUACUUAUGUUUUCUUUUAAGAGUUUGUUCCCUGGGGUAUUGUACCUAAAUGAUUUUUAACUUGUGCUUUUGUUUUAGGUAUUUAUUGUCUUAGUUUUAUUCUGAAACUGAAGGAAAACAUUUAACUGUAUCUUGAAGAAACUAGGCGGCCAUGUUAAACCUGUUGGUGGGUCUUCCGGGAGGGAAGAAAGGCUUCUACUGCCCCCUGGUGGUCAUGUACUCUAACUGAUGUACGCAAGAGCCACCCUAGGGGUUUUGUUGAACUGAGGGCACCAAGCUGUGUCUACCAGGGACUGUGUCCUUUGCAGCUGGCUAAGAGAGGUGAAGCAGGGAAAAUGGGGGAAGUCCUUCCCACUCCUGGGUGCUGCAGGUCUCUGGCCUGAAGUAAAGAAGUGCAGGAGAGGCUUUGGGCUGGGCAGAGUCCAGAGCCUUGCGAUGACAGUUCCCUUAAGGCCAAGACAAAGGGCUUCUUCCUUUAACGGCCACGUGAGGUCAGCAGAGUCUGUGGUUGCCUAGCUUUGAUCCCAAGCUAGGAGAGGGCAAACCAGGCAGUGGGCUGAAGGAACCAAGAACAAAGGGGACAAAGAAAGCUUUUGCUCACAUCCUGUUGCAUGUGGCUCACUCACUCAGCAGGUGUUAAAUGCAUAACUGUAUCACAAGAUUAAACCUUGUGUGCGGGAGGUGAGUUCAGAGAUGCUGAAGGUGAGCAGGUGAACCAAAUAGUAGUUGGAUCUUGGCUUCUCUUCUUCCACACGAAUACGCAGAGGUGGAAAUCAGGGAGUAUCCAGGGUAAAGUUAUCAGUAGAGUCUAGGAUUCUAGUAAAACCCCCCAUUAAAAAAAAUAAUGUAACAAAUCUGUAAGCUCAUUGUUGUAGGGACGUAACUGGAGUCUAGUUUGGGUCUCCUGACCUAAGAAGGGCUCCUUCCUUUUGUCCUGUCUUCUGUCUCAGUGGUUCUUUCCAAGCCCUGCAGGGACAUGCGGGGUGGGAACCUUCCAUACCUGUCCCCCAGCCUCCCCCACCUCCUCUGACCUCUCAGUUUCCCUCCUCUGUAGCUCAAACCAUGCUAACCCUCGAGGGCUGCCGGCAGUCUGCCCAGGCCUCCCCACCACCGCCUCAGGGUGGGUUAGGAUCUCUGUUUGCAAGUGAGGACCUGGAGCAGGGGCGACUUGCCGGGGCCUCCUCACUUUUUUUAAGAGUGAAAGGUUUUGAGACACCUACAAGUGGAAAAUGUGCUCC